This is a long non-coding RNA of Lynx canadensis (Canada lynx), 90 nucleotides long. RefSeq lists it as uncharacterized. The transcript is spliced from 3 exons. The record is from RefSeq and is a predicted model, not a curated record. Lineage: Eukaryota; Metazoa; Chordata; Mammalia; Carnivora; Felidae.
CUGUCCUUUAGUUCAGGGUGAGGUCCCUUCUGUCUCCCACGGGAUUCCCCUGGCAUAGUAGCACGGACUCCUGGACCCACAGUGCAUAGU